RNAcentral lists this ribosomal RNA (1938 nucleotides) under Myxobolus sp. WSK-2013. RNAcentral's name for it is "SSU rRNA". It matches the Rfam family "Eukaryotic small subunit ribosomal RNA". The record is from RNAcentral. Lineage: Eukaryota; Metazoa; Cnidaria; Myxozoa; Bivalvulida; Myxobolidae.
CACCGUGCUAGUUCAUACAUUUGAAAUGUGAGACUGCGGAAGGCUCAGUAAAUCAGUUAUAAUCUGCUCGAUUGUAUAGGUUAUUGGAUAACCGUGGGAAAUCUAGAGCUAAUACAUGUAAUUUUGGAGCGAUCUCGGUCGUUCCUGGCAUUUAUUAGACAAUUACCAAUCGUGGGGCAACCCAUGUGGUGAAUCUAGAUAACUUAGCAGAUCGUAUGGCCUCGAGCCGGCGACGUUUCGAUUGAAUUUCUGCCCUAUCAACUAUUGUCGGUAGUGUAGUGGACUACCGAGGUUAUUACGGGUGACGGGGGAUCAGGGUUCGAUUCCGGAGAGGGAGCCUGAGAAACGGCUACCACAUCCAAGGAAGGCAGCAGGCGCGCAAAUUACCCAAUCCAGACAAUGGGAGGUGGUGACGAAAAGUACCAGAUGACGAUCAAAGAUUGUCAAUUUGGAAUGGAAUCAAUUUAAGCAAUUGAUUGAGUAACGACUAGAGGGCAAGUCUGGUGCCAGCAGCCGCGGUAAUUCCAGCUCUAGUAGCGUAUCUCAAAGUUGCUGCGCUUAAAACGCUCGUAGUUGGAUCACAAACUAUAUGCCAGUUGGUGUGGUGCUGUAUCAAAGUUAAAAUUUUGCGAAAUGUCCACAUUUUGUAGAAUAUUUAUGUGGUGCAGUGCUACUACCGUAAGCUAGUGUAUAGUAAUUGCACGUGAGGAUAGACGUUAGCCUUGAAUGAGUAGACGUUUGUGUCUCACGGAGUGUGCCUUGAAUAAAUCAAAGUGCUUAAAGCAGGCUAUACGCUUGAAUGUUAAAGCAUGGAACGAACAAUCGUGUAGGGUGCAUGUUGACCAAUGGAUGUUGGCUUGCUGAUGUUCAUCAACAUGUGACACCGACCACCAAUAACGGAUGUUGGUUCCGUAUUGGGGUAUUGAUUAAGAGGAGCGGUUGGGGGCAUUGGUAUUUGGCAGCGAGAGGUGAAAUUCUUGGACCUGUCAAGGACUAACAAAUGCGAAGGCAUCUGUCCAGACCGUAUCCAUUAAUCAAGAACGAUAGUGAGAGGUUCGAAGACGAUCAGAUACCGUCCUAGUUCUCACUGUAAACUAUGCCGACCCGGGAUCAGUUUGGAGCUUAUUUCCAUGCUCGGAGUUGGUCCCCCUGGGAAACCUAAAGUUUUUCGGUUGCGGGGGGAGUAUGGUCGCAAGGCUGAAACUUAAAGGAAUUGACGGAAGGGCACCACCAGGGGUGGAGCCUGCGGCUUAAUUUGACUCAACACGGGAAAACUUACCUGGUCCGAACAUCCGAAGGAUACACAGACUAAUAGAUCUUUGUUGAUGGGGUGAAAAGUGGUGCAUGGCCGUUCUUAGUUCGUGGAGUGAUCUGUCAGGCCCAUCCCGGUAACGAACGAGAUUACAGUCUCCAUUUGACGCGCUGAAGAAUGCACUCGUGCGGUUGUUUUCCGUAAAACGAUUGCGAUUCGUACGAGUGUCGGUAGUAUAUGUUGAGCUGCUUGGUGUCUGUUCAGAGUAAUCUGGUUGAAGGAAGGCAGCGAGGCGGUACUCCCUUUGGCUACACAACGUAUUUAUACGUUGCAUCAUGGAGAGACGGCGGUACAUAUUCAAAAACCGAGGAAGUGUAGCUAUAACAGGUCCGUGAUGCCCUUAGAUGUUCAGGGCUGCACGCGCGCUACAAUGAUAGCAACAACGAGUUUCUAAAUCGAGAGAUUUGGGUAAUCUUGCAAUUGCUAUCGUGAUGGGGAUCGACGCUUGUAAAUGUGUCGUGAAAGAGGAAUCCCUAGUACACGCGAUUCAUCAGAUCGCAUGGAUUGCGUCCCUGCCCUUUGUACACACCGCCCGUCGCUACUACCGAGUGAAUGGUGUCAUGAUACCUUGGGAGCGGACGUCCUCUGGGUAACACCGGUUGGACGCUGCGAUCAGCGUAAAAUGG